GCUUGUCUCAAAGAUUAAGCCAUGCAUGUCUAAGUAUAAACAAAUCUAUACGUGAAACUGCGAAUGGCUCAUUAUAUCAGUUAUAGUUUAUUUGAUGGUUCAUACUACUUGGAUAACCGUAGUAAUUCUAGAGCUAAUACAUGCGUCAAAAUCCGACUCCUGGGAGGGUUGUAUUUAUUAGAUGGAAACCAAUGCGGGGCAACCCGGUAUAUGGUGAUUCAUAAUAACUUUCGGAUCGAUCUUCGGAUCGAUGCAUCAUUCAAGUUUCUGCCCUAUCAGCUUUGGAUGGUAGGGUAUUGGCCUACCAUGGCUUUAACGGGUAACGGAGAAUUAGGGUUCGAUUCCGGAGAGGGAGCCUGAGAAACGGCUACCACAUCCAAGGAAGGCAG
This 389-nucleotide ribosomal RNA is filed under the name Uroglenopsis americana. RNAcentral's name for it is "partial small subunit ribosomal RNA". It matches the Rfam family "Eukaryotic small subunit ribosomal RNA", at positions 30 to 428 of the family's 1831-position model. Lineage: Eukaryota; Chrysophyceae; Chromulinales; Chromulinaceae. The record is from RNAcentral.